Molecule: ribosomal RNA, 1346 nt
Filed under: uncultured bacterium
Lineage: Bacteria
Description: partial 16S ribosomal RNA
Rfam family: Bacterial small subunit ribosomal RNA
Source: RNAcentral
GACGAACGCUGGUGGCGUGCUUAACACAUGCAAGUCGAACGGAAAGGCCCUGCUUUUGUGGGGUGCUCGAGUGGCGAACGGGUGAGUAACACGUGAGUAACCUGCCCUUGACUUUGGGAUAACUUCAGGAAACUGGGGCUAAUACCGGAUAGGAGCUCCUGCUGCAUGGUGGGGGUUGGAAAGUUUCGGCGGUUGGGGAUGGACUCGCGGCUUAUCAGCUUGUUGGUGGGGUAGUGGCUUACCAAGGCUUUGACGGGUAGCCGGCCUGAGAGGGUGACCGGCCACAUUGGGACUGAGAUACGGCCCAGACUCCUACGGGAGGCAGCAGUGGGGAAUAUUGCACAAUGGGCGGAAGCCUGAUGCAGCAACGCCGCGUGCGGGAUGACGGCCUUCGGGUUGUAAACCGCUUUCGCCUGUGACGAAGCGUGAGUGACGGUAAUGGGUAAAGAAGCACCGGCUAACUACGUGCCAGCAGCCGCGGUGAUACGUAGGGUGCGAGCGUUGUCCGGAUUUAUUGGGCGUAAAGGGCUCGUAGGUGGUUGAUCGCGUCGGAAGUGUAAUCUUGGGGCUUAACCCUGAGCGUGCUUUCGAUACGGGUUGACUUGAGGAAGGUAGGGGAGAAUGGAAUUCCUGGUGGAGCGGUGGAAUGCGCAGAUAUCAGGAGGAACACCAGUGGCGAAGGCGGUUCUCUGGGCCUUUCCUGACGCUGAGGAGCGAAAGCGUGGGGAGCGAACAGGCUUAGAUACCCUGGUAGUCCACGCUGUAAACGGUGGGUACUAGGUGUGGGGUCCAUUCCACGGGUUCCGUGCCGUAGCUAACGCUUUAAGUACCCCGCCUGGGGAGUACGGCCGCAAGGCUCAAACUCAAAGGAAUUGACGGGGCCCCGCACAAGCGGCGGAGCAUGCGGAUUAAUUCGAUGCAACGCGUAGAACCUUACCUGGGUUUGACAUGGAUCGGGAGUGCUCAGAGAUGGGUGUGCCUCUUUUGGGGUCGGUUCACAGGUGGUGCAUGGCUGUCGUCAGCUCGUGUCGUGAGAUGUUGGGUUAAGUCCCGCAACGAGCGCAACCCUUGUUCACUGUUGCCAGCACGUUAUGGUGGGGACUCAGUGGAGACCGCCGGGGUCAACUCGGAGGAAGGUGGGGAUGACGUCAAGUCAUCAUGCCCCUUAUGUCCAGGGCCUCACGCAUGCUACAAUGGCUGGUACAGAGAGUGGCGAGCCUGUGAGGGUGAGCGAAUCUCGGAAAGCCGGUCUCAGUUCGGAUUGGGGUCUGCAACUCGACCUCAUGAAGUCGGAGUCGCUAGUAAUCGCAGAUCAGCAACGCUGCGGUGAAUACGUUCCCGGGGCU